AACGAACGCUGGCGGCGUGGAUAAGACAUGCAAGUCGAACGGGAUUAUUUUGUAGCAAUACAGAAAUAAUUCAGUGGCGAACGGGUGCGUAACACGUGGGCAAUCUGCCGAAAAGUGGGGAGUAGCUCGCCGAAAGGACGAAUUAAUACCGCAUGUGGUGAGGACGACAUCUUCCUGAAUCCAAAGCCGGGGCGAACCUGGCGCUUUUGUAGGAGCCCGCGGCCUAUCAGCUUGUUGGCGGGUAACGGCCCACCAAGGCUAUGACGGUAGCUGGUCUGAGAGGACGACCAGUCACACUGGAACUGAGACACGGUCCAGACACCUACGGGUGGCA
This 334-nucleotide ribosomal RNA is filed under the name uncultured bacterium. RNAcentral describes it as "bacterial SSU rRNA". It matches the Rfam family "Bacterial small subunit ribosomal RNA", at positions 29 to 350 of the family's 1533-position model. The record is from RNAcentral.